AAACGGAAAAAAAAAAAGAAAAACUUCAAAUACCGCUCCUGUGAUUCACACUUUACAUUUUAGUACUUUAUAAUUUAAAGCGUAUCAAUUUAAUAUCCUAUAGUUCUAUUUUUCUCUUUUUAAUAUUUUUUUACUAAUUUUUUUUCGUUAAAUCAGUAACAAAGUUAAAACUAAAAAGUAUUAAAAUGAAUAUUCGAUAAAUCUAGAUGAAAUAUUUAAAAUUUUUUAUAUAUAAUUUAACAAAAUGUUAACAAAGAAGCUGACGAAAAAAGAAAAAUGAAGCCACAAGAUACAAAAUUAAUACGCUUUAAAUUACUGAGUAAUAAAGUAAGGAAGUGCGAUAUUAUAAAAAUAAUAUUUGAAGUUUAUACAAAAAAAAAAAAAAAAAAAAAAAAAACGAAGCUAAAGUACAUAUUGGUCCCCCAAUGUAGGCACGUCCUAUAUGUCACUUUAAUUUUCAAAUUUUAAUUUAUUAUAAAAUUAUCAUAUAAUAUGUUAAUAUAUUGUUAAUAAAAUUAACUAUACAAUAAUAUAUUGUUAAUAUGACAGGAGGUAGGCUGGAAUACUAUUAAUAGCAAACAAUUAUUUUUGCUAUCAAAUUUUUAACUUUUAGAUAAAAAAUUGUAGGAUUUAGAUGAAAUUAGUCCCUUUAGAGUUGAGUGGUUCUUUUAGAGUUGAGUAGUCCCCACUAGAUUAUAAUAUUUAAUCUAAUAAUUAGAAAUGAUAAAAAAAAUUGAUCUAAAAACUAAAAAUUUAAUAACAAAAAAGAUCUUUAGCUAUCAGUAUUUUAACCCAACUCAUAUGACACUAUAACAGUAAUAUUAUGCUAGAAUCUCUUCUUUACUUCUUUUUUUUUUUUUUUUUUUCCACUGUGUACUCCUCUUCUUCUCUUUCUCUUUACCUUUUCCUAGCCUCCUUGUCUUCUUUAUCUUUUAUUGUUUUUCGUUUUAGGUUUCGUUUGGGAUUACGGUGAGAUUGCGUUACGUGGAAAAGUACGUUGAAAAAAUAUCCUAUUUGUUUCCGUUUGUAAUAUUGCGUUCCGCAUAUUGCGAUGAGUCUGUUACGUUAUAUUUUCUACGGUCCCACCGGAGAACGCCGAAGCAUAUCUCUAUAUGCUUUUUCCACAACUCUAUUUUGUCUUAUAGAGUUACAUAGGCCUCAAUACCAAACUAAGCCUUAAUUAUCUUAUCCAUAUUUGCAAAAUUUAUUUUUUUUAACAAGAAAAUAAUAUACUAAUAAAAUAAUACGAUAAUAAAUAACAAAUUAUAUUAUUAUUAUUGUUAUAUUAGUGA
RNAcentral lists this long non-coding RNA (1292 nucleotides) under Ananas comosus (pineapple). RNAcentral's name for it is "long non-coding RNA (ACOM_LNC009553)". Lineage: Eukaryota; Viridiplantae; Streptophyta; Magnoliopsida; Poales; Bromeliaceae. The record is from RNAcentral.